Molecule: transfer RNA, 71 nt
Filed under: Cordylochernes scorpioides
Lineage: Eukaryota; Metazoa; Arthropoda; Arachnida; Pseudoscorpiones; Chernetidae
Description: tRNA-Tyr
Source: RNAcentral
UUCCAGGGAUGGGAAUCGAACCCACAGUGUUCCGCUUACCGCAGAUGCCAUGUCCACUAGGCUACCCUGGA